CUUGUAAUGGAGCUCAGGGUGAGGCCCCGGGUACCAUGAGGCUAGAGGUGAAAUUCUGAGACCCUCAGGGGACCAACUAAGACGAAAGCUGUCGUGGGCCACCACAAGCUCGUCUAUCAGGGACGAAAGUUGGGGGAUCGAAGACGAUUAGAUACCGUCGUAGUCCCAACUUAUAAACGAUACCAACCGAGUAUUUGGGAAGACACUAUCCCAGCGAUCUUCUCAGAACUCAAGGGAAACCUUAAGUCUUUGGGUUCUGGGGGGAGUAUAGUCGCAAGACCGAAACUUAAAGGAAUUGACGGAAAGGCACCACCAGGAGUGGAGUCUGCGGCUUAAUUCGACUCAACACGGGGAAACUCACCAGGUCAGGACACAAGUUUGAUUGACAGGUUAAUAGCCCUUUCUUGAUUGUGUGGUGGGUAGUGCAUGGCCGUUUCCAGUUCGUGGAGUGAUCUGUCUUGUUAAUUCAGAUAACGAACGAGACCUAAGCCUUUAACUAGCCGUAGGCCCUUUCCUUCGGGGAAGGGUUAGUUUAUCGGGACUGGCUUUUGGCCUUUUCCAAAACCUACGUGACUUUUGUCAGCUUCUUAAAGGGACUUCAUUCGUUCUAGUAGAAUGAGGAAGAUUUAGGCCAUAACAGGUCUGUGAUGCUCUUAGAUGUCCUGGGCUGCACGCGUACUACAAUAACGGUACCAGCGAGCGCUAUGGUUUUAUAACCCCUUAUCCUAAUAGGAUUGGGAAAACUUUUCAAACACCGUUAUGACAGGGAUCGAGGAUUGGAACAUCCUCGUGAACGAGGAAUUCCUAGUAAGCGUGGUUCAUCAUACCACAUUGAUUACGUCCCUGCCUUUUGUACACACCGCCCGUCGCUCCUACCGAUGGGACGAAGAGAUGACCUGGCGGACCGAGCCGCAAGGCAAGGGAAACCAGUUAAU
Molecule: ribosomal RNA, 935 nt
Filed under: freshwater sediment metagenome
Description: SSU rRNA
Rfam family: Eukaryotic small subunit ribosomal RNA
Source: RNAcentral